UACGUAGGGUGCAGGCGUUAUCCGGAUUCACUGGGUUUAAAGGGUGCGUAGGUGGGUCUGUAAGUCCGUGGUGAAAUCUCCGAGCUUAACUUGGAAACUGCCAUGGAUACUAUAGAUCUUGAAUACUGUGGAGGUUAGCGGAAUAUGUCAUGUAGCGGUGAAAUGCUUAGAUAUGACAUAGAACACCAAUUGCGAAGGCAGCUGGCUACACAAAUAUUGACACUGAUGCACGAAAGCGUGGGGAUCAAACAGG
RNAcentral lists this ribosomal RNA (253 nucleotides) under uncultured bacterium. Its description in RNAcentral is "partial 16S ribosomal RNA". It matches the Rfam family "Bacterial small subunit ribosomal RNA", at positions 524 to 776 of the family's 1533-position model. The record is from RNAcentral.